UUUUGCGGUGGCUGUGCGCGGGACACCUCCGGGUGUGCCGGAUACCUUGAUUUCCGGUCGGUCAACCCGCGUACAGCUGCCACCUUA
RNAcentral lists this non-coding RNA (87 nucleotides) under Pseudomonas sp. 478. The record is from RNAcentral. RNAcentral also lists the same sequence under 1 other name. Lineage: Bacteria; Pseudomonadati; Pseudomonadota; Gammaproteobacteria; Pseudomonadales; Pseudomonadaceae.